UACGAAGGGGGCUAGCGUUGCUCGGAAUUACUGGGCGUAAAGCGCACGUAGGCGGAUUGUUAAGUCGGGGGUGAAAUCCUGGAGCUCAACUCCAGAACUGCCUUCGAUACUGGCGAUCUCGAGUUCGGGAGAGGUGAGUGGAACUGCGAGUGUAGAGGUGAAAUUCGUAGAUAUUCGCAAGAACACCAGUGGCGAAGGCGGCUCACUGGCCCGAUACUGACGCUGAGGUGCGAAAGCGUGGGGAGCAAACAGG
RNAcentral lists this ribosomal RNA (253 nucleotides) under uncultured bacterium. Its description in RNAcentral is "partial 16S ribosomal RNA". It matches the Rfam family "Bacterial small subunit ribosomal RNA", at positions 524 to 776 of the family's 1533-position model. The record is from RNAcentral. RNAcentral also lists the same sequence under 2 other names.